This 65-nucleotide small RNA is filed under the name uncultured Clostridium sp. RNAcentral's name for it is "RAGATH-18 RNA". It matches the Rfam family "RAGATH-18 RNA". From Rfam's summary of the family: Actinobacteria, Firmicutes, Fusobacteria, Thermotogae (1 example). The record is from RNAcentral. Lineage: Bacteria; Bacillati; Bacillota; Clostridia; Eubacteriales; Clostridiaceae.
CUGUGAAGUAUUAUACCAAAUGUAAGUAGUUAUUUAUAACAAAAACAGAUACAUUGAAGCAGUAA